Apis florea (little honeybee) is the source of this 1324-nucleotide long non-coding RNA. The record is from RefSeq and is a predicted model, not a curated record. NCBI's taxonomy places the organism in Eukaryota, Metazoa, Arthropoda, Insecta, Hymenoptera, Apidae.
UUUCUGCCAGUUAGUCUCGCCGAGAUACUAGGAUAGCGACAGGACAUCAGCCUUUAACCAUCACCCUUGAACCGUGGACGGUACAAACCUCAAUAUUGUCGGGGCGGAUAAACCGGUCCUGCCGCAACCUUUCCCUCGAUCGAACCGUCGAAAUUAUUCUUAUUUUCGAAUAUUGUUGAAAAUUAUUUACGAAAAAAAAUUCCUCGAUUCUCUUCUCGAGAAAUGAAACGCGCGACGAGAAAUCGUUUAUGAGUGCGGACAUAUGCAUAUGCAUAUCCACGGGUGGACGAUAUCCAUUCGACGGUGUAACAGGUGUAUUCCUUCCCCUCUGUGAGAUACGACCUACCUUUCCGGUCAAUCUAACUUAAGAUAUUAACAUCUGGAUACGCGUGUUCAAAUAUUAUCGUGUAAUCCGGAUAAUAGAAGUGAAAAGAGGCGAUCGAUAUAUUACGAGAAACGAGCUACGAGAAGAGCACACGUGUGUGUAUAUGGUAUGGUAUAUAUUUUAUAUAUACACAUAUAUACCAAGGAGAACGGUCGUGACUUUAAAACUUAUAUACGUGAUGUAUCGAAUGCAACAGUCGAAGGCAUUUUAUACGUCUGACAGCUGUCGGUGGCAACGCUUACUAUCAUCCAGUUUGUAUUACACCUACCAUAAAGUUACGCGAGAAAUCGAUUUCUCGUUUUCCGUUACCUAGGAACGGAAUCGUAAAAUAAAAUCCAUAAGAGGCAAUGUUUCUGAAUUUUUCAAACAACCCGUAUGAAACCGCGGAUACCGUCUCUUCGUUUUGUCAUUCCUCUUAUCGCCCACGUAUGCACAUUUUCUACUCCGCCCCUCCCCUUACAUCCUCGAAUACGUCCUCCUCCCUUUUUCCCCCACGACCCUUUUUCAUUCUUGAUACGCGAAAGAAAAAAAGAUGCAAAAAUUGUCUGUCUAGGCAUUCCACGUCUCUCCACGUGAGCGAGACAGGAUCGGUGAAGAAAGGAGAGACGAGGGGAGAGCGAAUAGGCGGCAAGAAGAAUAAAGGGAGGAGAAAAAAAAAAAGAAAGGAGAAAGUCGCGAGACAUUACCGGGAACCUCGCGAUGGAAAUUGAAUUUCCAGGUCGAAAGUUCUCCGGGGAUUUCCACCGUUACGUUGUAACGCUACGCGAAGAGAGGUUUCUUUGGUAAACCAAGAAACAAGGAGACAAACUCUGCUCGACGAGUCGAUGGAGCGAGUUACGAGACGAGUUACGUGAAAUUAGUAUCUUUGACCUGGAUGAAAAUCGGCUCGCCUCUGCGACACGAAUAAUUUCAUUGCAUUUCUGCGAUACGACGAUACGA